Cinara cedri is the source of this 492-nucleotide non-coding RNA. The record is from the annotation of a GenBank genome assembly. NCBI's taxonomy places the organism in Eukaryota, Metazoa, Arthropoda, Insecta, Hemiptera, Aphididae.
GAGAGGAUAAACUCGGGAAAUUAAGGUAUUUUUGAAAAAAAAACCUACCUAUCUACCUACAACAAUCUUCUUUAUAUCUCGCCUAGGAAUCGCCGCUAAAUCGACCGUUUAGUUAAAUAAAUUACCGUUUACGAGUAUGCGUCGUCUAAUAUUUCAAAUGCCUUAGCCCCUCUAUAUAUCGUCACCGUCAUUCGUUUUAACCUAACCAACCGACUCGCGAAAAGAAGAAAUUGCACCGAACUCGAGCGGCGUGCAUUUUAUUCCAUGGUCCAAAGUGACGGCCGUCAUCAGUACACGUUCUUGUGUUUUCUCUUAAUAAAAUAUUUCUCGCCAAAAAUAUAACCACACGUGUGAUAGAGUAAGUUUAUAUAGGUACUGUUUAUAACGACUUAAUAUAUUUUUCUUAUGUUCGGAAAAUACACGACGACGCGUAUUCGUGAGGGGAUAGUGCUUUCCACAUUUGUGUAGUUUAUUUUGUAUAUUUGCUUUUAC